Molecule: ribosomal RNA, 227 nt
Filed under: Erythmelus rosascostai
Lineage: Eukaryota; Metazoa; Arthropoda; Insecta; Hymenoptera; Mymaridae
Description: partial 18S ribosomal RNA
Rfam family: Eukaryotic small subunit ribosomal RNA (bases 125-227)
Source: RNAcentral
UUCAUCGCUCGCGAUGUUUAACUGACAUGAUUGUGGGACGUCCUACCGGUGGACUUAGCUCUCUUCGCAAGGGGAGGGCGGUCCAACUAAUAUCCCAUCGCGGUGCUCUUCAUCGAGUGUCGAGGUGGGCCGGUACGUUUACUUUGAACAAAUUAGAGUGCUCAAAGCAGGCUCAUUUCGCCUGAAUACUGUGUGCAUGGAAUAAUGGAAUAGGACCUCGGUUCUAU